AACUAUUCGGUUGAUAUAAGGGAGUAAAUAGCCUUAUAAAUUACAAAGUCAUAAAAUCAUUUCUUACAUGCAAAGAGGAGAAAUAUGACUCAAAUUGUUAAGUAUGUUUAUGUGAUAAUUAUCUUUUUAUUCCUAUUUCUUAGUUCAACAAAUGUUGAAGCAAUCCAACAUACGUGUUUUAGAGAUUCAGAUUGUCCCAAUAAUUGUCCAAGACCUAAGAUCAUGAAGUGUAUCCACAACUCCAAAUGCUACUGUAAGAUGCCAGGAUAUAUUCCACCUCCAUGAUUCUGUAUUUUUAUCCAUACCCAAUAGAGUUUUUCUUUAUGGUGAAGUUAUAAGUAUGGUGAUUCGUAGUAGUUUUUAUUAUUUUUUGUGUUUGUAUUUAUGUUUUUCUAUUUUUAUUGUAUUUUCUUGAUUUCUCGACUGUAGUCUUUUAUACUUUUUGUGUUAUUUUUGCGCACUUAUAUUAUGUUGGAUUCAUUCCUCUU
Molecule: long non-coding RNA, 488 nt
Organism: Vicia villosa (hairy vetch)
Lineage: Eukaryota; Viridiplantae; Streptophyta; Magnoliopsida; Fabales; Fabaceae
Exons: 2
Source: RefSeq, a predicted model, not a curated record